UUCUGUAGACACAGCGACCUACCUGUAUUGUAUUGGUUCAUAAUUCUUCAAUGAAUAAAAUAAUUAUAAAGGAUGCACCUUUUUUCUACUAAAAAUAAAAUAUAUAAACUAGAAGUCGUUGCUUUGAAGUCAAAGUAAAGAAUUAUAUUUACAGUUACAUAUAAAAUCACUGUCCAGAUUCGCUAGUUUGAAGUCAAAGUAAUUUCUCCUAUUUACGUUAUAAGCCAGGACAGAAACAGUGCCGAUGUGACAUCAAAUGAAAGGUGUAUCCAAG
Molecule: long non-coding RNA, 274 nt
Filed under: Gossypium barbadense (sea-island cotton)
Lineage: Eukaryota; Viridiplantae; Streptophyta; Magnoliopsida; Malvales; Malvaceae
Description: long non-coding RNA (GBAR_LNC010017)
Source: RNAcentral